UGUCUGGAAGAAGUCUUCGAGCUGAUCUUGGGUAGUCUUUAGUGGCGAAUGGAUGAGUAACGCGUCGAUAACCUGCCUCUACCGGGGAUAACGGAGAAAAAUUUCCGCUAACACCGCAUAAGACCACAGCCCCGCAUGGUGCAGGGGUAAAAUAUUUAUAGGUAUAAGAUGGAUCCGCGUCCGAUUAGCUAGUUGGUGAGGUAAAGGCCCACCAAGGCGACGAUCGGUAGCCGGCCUGAGAGGGUGAACGGCCACAUUGGGACUGAGACACGGCCCAAACUCCUACGGGAGGCAGCAGUGGGGAAUAUUGGACAAUGGGGGGAAACCCUGAUCCAGCGACGCCGCGUGAGUGAAGAAGUAUUUCGGUAUGUAAAGCUCUAUCAGCAGGGAAGAAAAUGACGGUACCUGACUAAGAAGCCCCGGCUAACUACGUGCCAGCAGCCGCGGUAAUACGUAGGGGGCAAGCGUUAUCCGGAUUUACUGGGUGUAAAGGGAGCGCAGACGGCAAUGCAAGUCUGAAGUGAAAGGCGUGGGCUCAACCCAUGAACUGCUUUGGAAACUGUAUAGCUUGAGUGUCGGAGGGGUAAGCGGAAUUCCUAGUGUAGCGGUGAAAUGCGUAGAUAUUAGGAGGAACACCGGAGGCGAAGGCGGCUUACUGGACGACAACUGACGUUGAGGCUCGAAGGCGUGGGGAGCAAACAGG
RNAcentral lists this ribosomal RNA (703 nucleotides) under uncultured Lachnospiraceae bacterium. RNAcentral describes it as "bacterial SSU rRNA". It matches the Rfam family "Bacterial small subunit ribosomal RNA", at positions 60 to 776 of the family's 1533-position model. The record is from RNAcentral. Lineage: Bacteria; Bacillati; Bacillota; Clostridia; Lachnospirales; Lachnospiraceae.